Molecule: unclassified non-coding RNA, 732 nt
Filed under: Hevea brasiliensis (rubber tree)
Lineage: Eukaryota; Viridiplantae; Streptophyta; Magnoliopsida; Malpighiales; Euphorbiaceae
Source: RNAcentral
UUUCAGCUAAAGUAGGCCAAGACUCCAAACAUUGAUGAAUCUGUAUUCCCAGCUCCGGAACAAAUGCGAAUUGUGACUCGUGAAAGACGCCAAAUAUCAAGGCUAAAAUAGCCAUUACAUGUAGCCAACUGCAGACUAACAUUAACAUUGAAUUCUUUGCAAUGCUCGGCUAAUCGGUUCUUGGAAAUAUUGAAGUGAUAUGAAAAUUGCUUCCUCAGUUCGAAUUGUUCUACUUCCUUGAUGGGGACAGGUAUUCAAGUAUGAAUCAAAAACCUCUUGAACAUUUUUACCCUUUAAGUUGCUGUCUUCUUCAAUACUUUCUUCCAACCCAGCGAGCCCACCAAAUGCAAUCAACAAAUGCCUGAAAGUUGGCAAAGAAAGCUGUGAUGAGUUUAUAAUCUGACCAUGUUCUGAGGUACCGAUUAAAUAAUCAUAGCCACCCUUCCUUGUACGGACAAUCAUUGAACACCAACACCGAGCUGAUAUUUGAAGCAUACCGCACUCUAUAGCCCCAAUACAUUCCUGAUUCUUCCUUAGGUUUGGACAAUGAUACAACCUCAUGUGGUAUAUCACCAUCCAAAUUGCGGUUGCUUCCCAUUGCCACAGUUACUCUAAUGCCAGGUUCAAGAGCUUGAUCAACAACAACAUUCUUACUCAAACCCACGUCAACCAGCGUUUCCUUAGAGUUUGGAGCUUUUUCAUUUGAUGUGACACCCUCCCGAUAUGGAGCCC